This 492-nucleotide ribosomal RNA is filed under the name uncultured bacterium. RNAcentral's name for it is "partial 16S ribosomal RNA". It matches the Rfam family "Bacterial small subunit ribosomal RNA", at positions 29 to 507 of the family's 1533-position model. The record is from RNAcentral.
AGUGAACGCUGGCGGUAGGCCUAACACAUGCAAGUCGAACGGCAGCACAGUAAGAGCUUGCUCUUACGGGUGGCGAGUGGCGGACGGGUGAGGAAUACAUCGGAAUCUACUUUUUCGUGGGGGAUAACGUAGGGAAACUUACGCUAAUACCGCAUACGACCUACGGGUGAAAGCAGGGGAUCUUCGGACCUUGCGCGAUUGAAUGAGCCGAUGUCGGAUUAGCUAGUUGGCGGGGUAAAGGCCCACCAAGGCGACGAUCCGUAGCUGGUCUGAGAGGAUGAUCAGCCACACUGGAACUGAGACACGGUCCAGACUCCUACGGGAGGCAGCAGUGGGGAAUAUUGGACAAUGGGCGCAAGUCUGAUCCAGCCAUACCGCGUGGGUGAAGAAGGCCUUCGGGUUGUAAAGCCCUUUUGUUGGGAAAGAAAAGCAGCAGGUUAAUACCCCGCUGUUCUGACGGUACCCGAAGAAUAAGCACCGGCUAACUUCGUG